Molecule: ribosomal RNA, 420 nt
Filed under: uncultured bacterium
Lineage: Bacteria
Description: bacterial SSU rRNA
Rfam family: Bacterial small subunit ribosomal RNA
Source: RNAcentral
GAGGAAUAUUGGUCAAUGGACGCAAGUCUGAACCAGCCACGUCGCGUGAAGGAAGACGGCCCUAUGGGUUGUAAACUUCUUUUGUAAGGGAAUAAAGUGCAGUACGUGUACUGUUUUGCAUGUACCUUACGAAUAAGGAUCGGCUAACUCCGUGCCAGCAGCCGCGGUAAUACGGAGGAUCCGAGCGUUAUCCGGAUUUAUUGGGUUUAAAGGGUGCGCAGGCGGGAGAUUAAGUCGGCGGUGAAAUUUUGCAGCUUAACUGUAAAAGUGCCAUCGAUACUGGUUUCCUUGAGUGUAGAUGAAGUAGGCGGAAUUUGUGGUGUAGCGGUGAAAUGCAUAGAUAUCACGAGGAACUCCGAUUGCGCAGGCAGCUUACUAAACUACUACUGACGCUCAGGCACGAAGGCGUGGGGAUCAAAC